This 25-nucleotide non-coding RNA is filed under the name Mus musculus (house mouse). Lineage: Eukaryota; Metazoa; Chordata; Mammalia; Rodentia; Muridae. The record is from RNAcentral.
UGAACAUCCUCGGGUAAGGUCUUUU